UAUGGCUCAGAACGAACGCUGGUGGCGUGUCUUAUACAUGCAAGUCGAGCGGUGCAGCAAUGCAUAGCGGCGAACGGGUGAGUAACGCGUAAGCAAUCUGCCCCCUGUUCGGGAAUAGCCGUGCCAACGCGCGGGUAAUACCGGAUAUUGUGGCCCUGGACAUCCGGGGUUGACAAAAGAUUUAUCGACAGGGGAUGAGCUUGCGUCCGAUUAGCUAGUUGGCGGGGCAACGGCCCACCAAGGCGACGAUCGGUAGCCGGCCUGAGAGGGUGAUCGGCCACAUUGGGACUGAGAUACGGCCCAGACUCCUACGGGAGGCAGCAGUAGGGAAUAUUGCACAAUGGGGGAAACCCUGAUGCAGCAACGCCACGUGUGGGAAAGAAGCAUUUCGGUGUGUAAACCACUGUCGUGAGGGAAUAAGGCUGAGUUUCGGCUCAGUUGAAUGUACCUCGAGAGGAAGCACCGGCAAACUUCGUGCCAGCAGCAGC
Molecule: ribosomal RNA, 488 nt
Filed under: uncultured bacterium
Lineage: Bacteria
Description: bacterial SSU rRNA
Rfam family: Bacterial small subunit ribosomal RNA
Source: RNAcentral